Long non-coding RNA from Octopus sinensis (East Asian common octopus), 702 nucleotides. RefSeq lists it as uncharacterized. The record is from RefSeq and is a predicted model, not a curated record. NCBI's taxonomy places the organism in Eukaryota, Metazoa, Mollusca, Cephalopoda, Octopoda, Octopodidae. The transcript is spliced from 3 exons.
UGUGUGUGUGUGUGUGUGUGUGUAUGUAAUAUAUAUGCAUAAAGAAAACGAUAUAAGAAAUUCGUGAGGCAAUAUGUUGAACACGUGUCGUACAAAUAGACACACACACAAAUUUAUAAACGCAUUCGCUUAUAUGUAUGCUUAGAGAGGAAUGCUGACACGGAUAAUGUACCCCCAAUUUUCCAGGUAUAUAGGCACGCAUUAAAAUAAAUAACACGUCAUUUGAUUACCUGUAGUUAUAACACCUUUACCUAUACAAUUGUAACGUCACUUAGGCUGAUACACUCCUAAACACACAUACAUACAUACAUACAUACAUAUACAUACAUACAUUCAUUCAUACAUACAUAUACAUAUACAUACAUACAUACAUACAUGUAUAUAUUAUGGAGUUUAAGUAACAUGUAUUACUAAAACUUUCUACAGUCACGUGAAUAUAUAUAUAUAUAUAUAUAUAUACACACACACACACACAUAUUUGUAUAUUUGCAUAAUUGUAUAUGUAACCAUGCUGGAAUAUACUUUUGAGGAUUUUGUUCACCGAACUCGGAACCACAUAUACACAUAUUCACAGAAAAUCUUAGGUAUAGGUACGUGACACAUGCACUUAUAUGUAUAGCUUGCACAAAAUGUAUGAAUAAACUUAUAUACACUCACUCACACGUGUGAAUACCUAUAAUUGUAUGUACAUAUAUAUUUAAG